GGAAGAAGCUCGGACGAGCCCCAAGAUUGUAAUAUCAGCUCCGUAACAUUACCGUUGCACCGUCGCACUGGCUUUUACUAUAAAUCGACCGCUGGACCUGCGAACAGCGAGCAAAAUGUAAACAACGCGUUUGUAUCGUGCGAUCGGUCGCGAGUUUAUGAACGUCGAAUCCUCAAACAAGAUUUCUCAACUGCUAAUAAAUCUUCAUUUGGGAUAACGUGGUGUGAAAUUUCUCACAAUUGGUGCUGAUUUUUUGUCAUCUUGGAACCGCUUGGAGGAUAAAAUGUUAAAGCAGCAGCUUGCGUGAGGAAAGUGCUCUUAGGAUGAACAAAAAAUCAACGCGGUGAAUCGCACAAAGAUCCAGUAAUUG
RNAcentral lists this long non-coding RNA (370 nucleotides) under Neodiprion lecontei (redheaded pine sawfly). RNAcentral's name for it is "uncharacterized LOC124295369". The record is from RNAcentral. Lineage: Eukaryota; Metazoa; Arthropoda; Insecta; Hymenoptera; Diprionidae.